GACGAACGCUGGCGGCGUGCCUAAUACAUGCAAGUAGAACGCACAGUUUAUACCGUAGCUUGCUACACCAUAGACUGUGAGUUGCGAACGGGUGAGUAACGCGUAGGUAACCUGCCUGGUAGCGGGGGAUAACUAUUGGAAACGAUAGCUAAUACCGCAUAAUAUUGAUUAUUGCACGAUAAUUGAUUGAAAGAUGCUAUUGCAUCACUACCAGAUGGACCUGCGUUGUAUUAGCUAGUAGGUGAGGUAACGGCUCACCUAGGCGACGAUACAUAGCCGACCUGAGAGGGUGACCGGCCACACUGGGACUGAGACACGGCCCAGACUCCUACGGGAGGCAGCAGUAGGGAAUCUUCGGCAAUGGACGAAAGUCUGACCGAGCAACGCCGCGUGAGUGAAGAAGGUUUUCGGAUCGUAAAGCUCUGUUGUAAGAGAAGAACGGGUGUGAGAGUGGAAAGUUCACACUGUGACGGUAGCUUACCAGAAAGGGACGGCUAACUACGUG
RNAcentral lists this ribosomal RNA (505 nucleotides) under uncultured bacterium. RNAcentral's name for it is "partial 16S ribosomal RNA". It matches the Rfam family "Bacterial small subunit ribosomal RNA", at positions 28 to 507 of the family's 1533-position model. The record is from RNAcentral.